Molecule: long non-coding RNA, 287 nt
Organism: Erigeron canadensis
Lineage: Eukaryota; Viridiplantae; Streptophyta; Magnoliopsida; Asterales; Asteraceae
Exons: 4
Source: RefSeq, a predicted model, not a curated record
CCUCAUCUCAAUAUAGUGUCUCACAUGCAGAUGAUCUUGGAAUUGCCGUUAUGAUUACAAGUAUAUGGGAGGCUGAAAGUGAGUUGCUUUCAUAAGUUGGAGACAAGGACUGCGACAACUUGAAUGCGUUUCUCAAGUCUGGUUGCAGCAUAUAAAAAUAAAGAAACUUCGCAAAUGGAUGACGUUGUGGCACUCCCGAAUACAUGACUAAAAUGUACCUGAAGUAGUUGACCACGAGCAAGUCAAGUCUGUCUUUGUGGGUACGCUACAUAAGCUAUAUAUUGGAA